CAUUGAUUGUACCUUUUGGAAUUUUUGUGUAGACAUUGACGGAAUAUAGUCUUCAUCGAUUCCUUUUCCAUAGAAAGAUGAAGAGCUACUGGGGAAGCACGACACAUUAUCUUCUUCAUGGUUGUCAUCACAAGCAUCCCAUGGAUGGCCUACGCCUUGUUUUUCCUCCUGCUAUAAUGGCUAUUCUUUGUGUACCGUUCUGGAAUUUAAUCAAACGCAUCUCGACUCCCUCAAUUGCUCCUGCAUUAUUUGGAGGAGGCGUGUUGGGCUAUGCAUGUCAU
Molecule: unclassified non-coding RNA, 281 nt
Filed under: Hevea brasiliensis (rubber tree)
Lineage: Eukaryota; Viridiplantae; Streptophyta; Magnoliopsida; Malpighiales; Euphorbiaceae
Source: RNAcentral